RNAcentral lists this ribosomal RNA (388 nucleotides) under uncultured bacterium. RNAcentral's name for it is "bacterial SSU rRNA". It matches the Rfam family "Bacterial small subunit ribosomal RNA", at positions 30 to 416 of the family's 1533-position model. The record is from RNAcentral.
AUUGAACGCUGGCGGCAUGCCUUACACAUGCAAGUCGAACGGCAGCAUGGGUGCUUGCACCUGAUGGCGAGUGGCGAACGGGUGAGUAAUGCAUCGGAACGUACCCGGAAGUGGGGGAUAACGUAGCGAAAGUUACGCUAAUACCGCAUAUUCUGUGAGCAGGAAAGAGGGGGAUCGCAAGACCUCUCGCUUUCGGAGCGGCCGAUGUCGGAUUAGCUAGUUGGCGGGGUAAAGGCCCACCAAGGCAACGAUCCGUAGCGGGUCUGAGAGGAUGAUCCGCCACACUGGGACUGAGACACGGCCCAGACUCCUACGGAGGCAGCAGUGGGGAAUUUUGGGACAAUGGGGGCAACCCUGAUCCAGCCAUGCCGCGUGAGUGAAGAAGGCC